This 457-nucleotide ribosomal RNA is filed under the name uncultured bacterium. RNAcentral describes it as "bacterial SSU rRNA". It matches the Rfam family "Bacterial small subunit ribosomal RNA", at positions 340 to 786 of the family's 1533-position model. The record is from RNAcentral.
UACGGAAGGCAGCAGUGGGGAAUAUUGCACAAUGGGCGAAAGCCUGAUGCAGCUAUGCCGCGUGUAUGAAGAAGGCCUUAGGGUUGUAAAGUACUUUCAUCGGGGAGGAAAAAACAAAACUAAUAAUUUUAUUUCUUGACGUUACCCGAAAAAGAAGCACCGGCUAACUCCGUGCCAGCAGCCGCGGUAAUACGGAGGGUGCUAGCGUUAAUCAGAAUUACUGGGCGUAAAGAGCACGUAGGUGGUUUUUUUAAAGUCAGAUGUGAAAUCCCUGGGCUUAACCUAGGAACUGCAUUUUGAAACUGAAAUACUAGAGUAUCGUAGAGGGAGGUAGAAUUCUAGGUGUAGCGGUGAAAUGCGUAGAUAUCUGGAGGAAUACCUGUGGCGAAAGCGGCCUCCCAAACGAAUACUGACACUGAGGUGCGAAAGCGUGGGGAGCAAACAGGGAUUAGAUACC